RNAcentral lists this ribosomal RNA (301 nucleotides) under uncultured bacterium. RNAcentral describes it as "partial 16S ribosomal RNA". It matches the Rfam family "Bacterial small subunit ribosomal RNA", at positions 509 to 808 of the family's 1533-position model. The record is from RNAcentral.
CAGCGCCGCGGGAAUACGAAGGGUGCAAGCGUUAAUCGGAAUUACUGGGCGUAAAGCGUGCGUAGGCGGUUUGUUAAGUCUGCUGUGAAAUCCCCGGGCUCAACCUGGGAAUGGCAGUGGAUACUGGCAAGCUAGAGUGUGUCAGAGGAUGGUGGAAUUCCCGGUGUAGCGGUGAAAUGCGUAGAGAUCGGGAGGAACAUCAGUGGCGAAGGCGGCCAUCUGGGACAACACUGACGCUGAGGCACGAAAGCGUGGGGAGCAAACAGGAUUAGAUACCCGCGUAGUCCCUGUCUCUUAUACA